AGCUUUUUCAUGGCGAAGUCUUCAAAACAUGAAGCAAAAAUAGCCCUCUCUGGUAUCCAGGAAACAAGUGCUCCUCAGUCAUGAGGCAGUUGUUGGAUGGAAGCAGAAUUCUAUAAAAGACGGUAAGCUGAAAAUUUUACGAGAGACAAGCGAGACCAGGGAACUGAGAACAGCCCCUGGAGACUCCAGAUAAAAAUGCAGAAGUUAAGGGAAGUAGAAGAUCUGUUUAUGCAGGAAUCACAAAGGGAAUACUUUGAGAUGGAAAAAAUCUCAGAAAAUUUGUCAUUUUUUAUGAGAUGCUGAUCUCCUGAAUAUUUCUCCAAGCUAUCCAGACAUGUGUCCGAUCUAAAUCAGGAGGCAUCUUCAGAAAUUCUUCACAAACACCCCCAAGAAACCAUAAAGUGAGGGUCUAGGACCUUUGCCUUUGCAAACAAAAAUGUGUAGAUCACUGACCAAAGAAUGAAAAUCUCAUUAAAACCUUGUUUCAGAGAGAUUGGAGCAGGGAGCAGGAAAUGUCAGUAGAACUACGAAAUUGUAUGUUCCUUGUAUUACAUGAACACAGUUAUUUAAAAUAAAAUGUUUGUAUUAUUAUAA
Molecule: long non-coding RNA, 594 nt
Organism: Suricata suricatta (meerkat)
Lineage: Eukaryota; Metazoa; Chordata; Mammalia; Carnivora; Herpestidae
Exons: 4
Source: RefSeq, a predicted model, not a curated record